GACGAACGCUGGCGGCGUGCUUAACACAUGCAAGUCGAACGGAAAGGCUCCAGCUUGCUGGAGUACUCGAGUGGCGAACGGGUGAGUAACACGUGGGUAAUCUGCCCUGCACUCUGGGAUAAGCCUGGGAAACUGGGUCUAAUACUGGAUAUGACCUUUCUCCUUAUGGGGUUUGGUGGAAAGUUUUUCGGUGUAGGAUGAGCCCGCGGCCUAUCAGCUUGUUGGUGGGGUGAUGGCCUACCAAGGCGACGACGGGUAGCCAGCCUGAGAGGGUGAUCGGCCACAUUGGGACUGAGAUACGGCCCAGACUCCUACGGGAGGCAGCAGUGGGGAAUAUUGCACAAUGGGCGGAAGCCUGAUGCAGCGACGCCGCGUGAGGGAUGACGGCCUUCGGGUUGUAAACCUCUUUCAGCAGGGACGAAGCGUAAGUGACGGUACCUGCAGAAGAAGCACCGGCUAACUAUGUG
Molecule: ribosomal RNA, 467 nt
Filed under: uncultured bacterium
Lineage: Bacteria
Description: partial 16S ribosomal RNA
Rfam family: Bacterial small subunit ribosomal RNA
Source: RNAcentral